UACAGCCAUAUCACAUUGAAGCACCAGUUCCCAUAUGAUCACCAAAGUUAAGCAACAUCAAACCUUAUCAGUACCUAGAUGAGUGACCACUUGGGCAUAACAGGUACUGUAAG
Molecule: non-coding RNA, 113 nt
Organism: Acanthosepion pharaonis
Lineage: Eukaryota; Metazoa; Mollusca; Cephalopoda; Sepiida; Sepiidae
Source: the annotation of a GenBank genome assembly